UCAAUCUUUAAAAUAUAUGCAGCUUCACAGUUGCUAGCAUAAAUUAAUUAUGAAAAUACCAUUACCCUAAAGGAAAAAGACACUGACCUAGCAUGUGAUCAUGUAAUUAAAUUAUGCCCCUCAGCUUCGAUAUUAUACUAAAAAUACAUGCAGCUAUAGUAACAAAUGCUCCAGGAUUAAACAAGUCUGGCAAUUAGAAUAAAAAAUUAUUCUUUCCUAAAAUCACUGGAAACAUGUUAGUGUACAAGAAGAAAAUUUAACUCUAAAGCAGUAUGAACAGCUCUUAUUACACUUGUUGAAGUAACAUCAUCAGUUAAUGUUAAUGUAACACUGUGCAGAUCCUUGACUGGUGGAAACUGACCUAAUCUUAUUAAGGACAAUGGAAGUAUACUAAUUUAUGUUAGCCGAGAAUCUGUCCUCAGGGCUUUGUUCUCUUGUAUUUAUCUAUCCAUGGAGCUCUAAAUAACACUUUAUCAAUAAUAAGAAGUAUAUUUCCUGAGGAUUUCAGUCAUCUGCAGCUUUGAGAAGUCUUGUUUCAAACAUAUUCUCUUCAUAGACAGAGCCAUAGCUAUCAGUGUUUUCCUAAUUGUAUAAUUCCUAGGAAAUUUCAGCAAAACAAAUGUGUUGUGUUGUCUUAUCUUUCUUGUGUUCUUGCAGAUGAGAGAAAAAUGUCUGUCAGGAGGUCAGGCCCAAUCAAUAACCUGGAUCUUCAGUGGGUCAAAUAUCUUCAACCUAUGUACCAACUGGUUGACAUACUCUGUUUAAACACAAACAGCGGAAAGACAUUGACAACAUUUGAUACUUUUUAAUUCAGUAGCAAAGUAGCUACAAGGAGACUAUAGAGAACAAGAGAACAUGAAGGACACAGUUAUUCGUAUUUGGCUGAACAUUUAUUUUGUAUAUGCAAUGACUGUCAUUUACACACUCAUUAAGUCAUCAACAUAUACAAGAAUGAUAUGAUGAAGAGGAAAGCUUAAAGAAGACAGUAAGAUCUGGGGGAGUUUAAGGGGUUGUUUCUAGGUGAAUUCACUCUAUACCAUUAAGAACUGAAAACGCAGAUGUCGUCUGCUCAAAACUGGGAUCCGGUAAAACCUGGGGGGUAAAUGUUCUGUACAAAGUCACCAAAUGAAAAAAAAAUGUAGAGCCUUGUAGCAAUAGGCUGAAAUAACUUGAUCUCUUCUAUUUUCUCUUUAGUUUAACUUUUUCUCAAUAAAAAAAAAUGAAUAAAUAAAUAAAUAUUGGCU
Molecule: long non-coding RNA, 1244 nt
Filed under: Anser brachyrhynchus (Pink-footed goose)
Lineage: Eukaryota; Metazoa; Chordata; Aves; Anseriformes; Anatidae
Description: lncRNA (ENSABRG00000014429.1)
Source: RNAcentral